UACGUAGGGGGCAAGCGUUGUCCGGAUUUAUUGGGCGUAAAGAGCGUGUAGGCGGCCAGAUAGGUCCGUUGUGAAAACUCGAGGCUCAACCUCGAGACGCCGAUGGAAACCAUUUGGCUAGAGUCCGGAAGAGGAGAGUGGAAUUCCUGGUGUAGCGGUGAAAUGCGCAGAUAUCAGGAGGAACACCAAUUGCGAAGGCAGCUCGCUGGGACGUCACUGACGCUGAGACGCGAAAGCGUGGGGAGCAAACAGG
RNAcentral lists this ribosomal RNA (253 nucleotides) under uncultured bacterium. RNAcentral describes it as "partial 16S ribosomal RNA". It matches the Rfam family "Bacterial small subunit ribosomal RNA", at positions 524 to 776 of the family's 1533-position model. The record is from RNAcentral.